RNAcentral lists this ribosomal RNA (301 nucleotides) under uncultured bacterium. RNAcentral describes it as "partial 16S ribosomal RNA". It matches the Rfam family "Bacterial small subunit ribosomal RNA", at positions 509 to 807 of the family's 1533-position model. The record is from RNAcentral.
CAGCCGCCGCGGGAAUACGAAGGGUGCAAGCGUUAAUCGGAAUUACUGGGCGUAAAGCGUGCGUAGGCGGUUUGUUAAGUCUGCUGUGAAAUCCCCGGGCUCAACCCGGGAAUGGCAGUGGAUACUGGCAAGCUAGAGUGUGUCAGAGGAUGGUGGAAUUCCCGGUGUAGCAGUGAAAUGCGUAGAGAUCGGAAGGAACAUCUGUGGCGAAGGCGACUAUCUGGGCCAACACUGACACUGAGGCACGAAAGCGUGGGGAGCAAACAGGAUUAGAUACCCCGGUAGUCCCUGUCUCUUAUAC